RNAcentral lists this long non-coding RNA (287 nucleotides) under Sinocyclocheilus anshuiensis. RNAcentral describes it as "lncRNA (ENSSANG00000014287.1)". Lineage: Eukaryota; Metazoa; Chordata; Actinopteri; Cypriniformes; Cyprinidae. The record is from RNAcentral.
UCUUGCAGGUUGUCCGUUUUAAUCUGGAGUUUAGAAAAGUGAGGCGGAACUCUCUGGUGCUGCUGUGGGCGGAGCCUCUGUACAAGGGCCAAUCAGAGAUCAGCAAGGGGGCGGAGUCUGAGGAUUGGACCUCUGUGUUGAGUGAGCCGGUGACGGAAACUCACUUAAAGGUCUGUUCUUACCUUCACGGACGCCUCGGAGCAGGAUUUGGGCCUUUACACGGUGGAGCUGAGCGGAAACCCUGACGUCUCCUCUAAUUUCACCUUCGCUGCGGAGGAUCUGGAGAG